RNAcentral lists this ribosomal RNA (253 nucleotides) under uncultured bacterium. RNAcentral describes it as "partial 16S ribosomal RNA". It matches the Rfam family "Bacterial small subunit ribosomal RNA", at positions 524 to 776 of the family's 1533-position model. The record is from RNAcentral.
GACGAACCGUGCAAACGUUAUUCGGAAUCACUGGGCUUAAAGCGUGCGUAGGCGGCUAAGAAAGUUGGGUGUGAAAUCCCUCGGCUCAACCGAGGAAUUGCGCUCAAAACUACUUAGCUUGAGGGAGUUAGAGGUGAGCGGAACUAAUGGUGGAGCGGUGAAAUGCGUUGAUAUCAUUAGGAACACCGGUGGCGAAAGCGGCUCACUGGGACUCUUCUGACGCUGAGGCACGAAAGCUAGGGUAGCGAACGGG